CAGAGAGAUAACACAGUCCACAGUUUCAGAGCAGGAAAAAUCUGGGUUCUGAUUUGUACAGCCUUGCUAGCAAGAGGGAUUGAUUUUAAAGGUGUGAACUUGGUGAUCAACUAUGACUUUCCAACCAGCUCAGUGGAAUAUAUCCACAGGAUAGGUCGAACUGGAAGAGCAGGGAAUAAGGGAAAAGCAAUUACAUUUUUCACUGAGGAUGAUAAGCCAUUAUUAAGAAGCGUUGCUAAUGUUAUACAGCAGGCUGGGUGUCCUGUACCAGAAUACAUAAAAGGUUUUCAGAAACUACUAAGCAAACAAAAGAAAAAGAUGAUUAAGAAACCAUUGGAAAGGGAGAGCAUUAGUACAACUCCAAAAUGUUUCUUAGAAAAAGCUAAGGAUAAACAGUAAGUAUGUGGAAAAAGGUCACUGGUCAGAACAGCAAGAAGAAAGUAGCUCUUGAAGACAAAAGUUAAAAACAGACUUUAAAAAUACUGUCCCAGAAAUGUAAUUUUAUGAUCCCAGCAUGAAUGUUAUUUUCAUGGAAUACUUGAAGUCUUACAGUCACCUGUACCAAACAUUUGAAAUCAACUACAAGUACAUGAGACUGGUGAUAAAUGAUCCUAAACUAUCAAGUCAGUUUCAAUUUGUAGGUGCCUUUUUUUUUUCCUGUAGAGAUGAGGGUCUCGCCAUGUUGUCCAGGCUGGUCUUGAACUCCUGACCUCACACAAUCCUCCUGCCUUAGCCUCCUGAGUAACUGAGAUUACAGGCACAAGCUGCUGCACCCAGCUCUGUAGGUGACUUUUAAAUGAUUAUACAAUGGAAAUAACAUUCAUUGACAUUUCUGUGGUUUGAAUCCAGAGAGAUACUUCUUAUAGAAAAACAAAUGUUGAUGCUAAAAAUAACACCAAAAUGUGGUGAACUCUUAAGGACUUUUCCCUUCAAGUGUGAAGGAAGGUGUGAUGAAUGCUGUGGAGAGGCAUCUGGAACAAAUUCAAAAUAAAGCCUUGACAUUAAAUACCCCUUCCACUGCUCACUUUGUGGAUGGUAGCAUGGGCUGUUUACCAAGAAGAAACCUGCUGCUCUCUUAAUUUUAAUAUUUCCUAAUUUGUUGAUGGCCUUUUGUGUUGUGAACCACAACAAAGAGAGGCCUCUUCUGUGGCUGGUUAUUCCAGUUCCCUGGGAUUUUAAAUUCUUUGGUCUAUUAAGUAUCCUUGUAUUGGAUAC
Molecule: long non-coding RNA, 1215 nt
Filed under: Pan troglodytes (chimpanzee)
Lineage: Eukaryota; Metazoa; Chordata; Mammalia; Primates; Hominidae
Description: long non-coding RNA NONPTRT006737
Source: RNAcentral